Molecule: non-coding RNA, 216 nt
Organism: Myotis brandtii (Brandt's bat)
Lineage: Eukaryota; Metazoa; Chordata; Mammalia; Chiroptera; Vespertilionidae
Source: Rfam
GAGCUGUCUGUCUUUCCAUCUGGGUUACAGACUGAGCUGAGAAGGUCAGGGGCAUGUUCUCGAGCAGGACACAUGCUGGAGUUUGGAGGUCAGUGUACAUAGGGAGUAUAGCCAUCCUCUCAACUGCUCAGCAAAUGUCUCGCUGUGGGGCAGAACAGUGCGUGUCUGUCUGUCUGGAGGUCUCCUCCUGGAAUGCUGGUUGCCUAGCAACAAAAU